Molecule: long non-coding RNA, 326 nt
Organism: Argiope bruennichi
Lineage: Eukaryota; Metazoa; Arthropoda; Arachnida; Araneae; Araneidae
Exons: 3
Source: RefSeq, a predicted model, not a curated record
GGAGCCUCUGCAGCUCGAAAUUACUGGGCUGGAUAGUUUUUAUAAUAGAGAUUCUAUCGUCAUUGCCUACAAAUUCAAAAGUGCUGGUGACAACAGCACUUUUGAAUUGGUAUAUGAUGUGUUGGAUGUUCUCUCCAGACGAUGCCUAAGCAGAAUGUCGCAGAAACUUUUGCAGUCUUCGGUUUGUCUUGAAAAUUUGCAAAACAUGGUGCUAUAUGCAUGCAUCAAAGAAGAUGCAAGUUAUCACAGAUUGUGUCAGAUAGCACAUUCUGUGAGAAAACAUUUUUCUUCAUUGAAUGUGACGUUUGUAGAUAGCAGACCUUUUG